This 677-nucleotide ribosomal RNA is filed under the name Sphingomonas sp. SMCC G921. RNAcentral describes it as "bacterial SSU rRNA". It matches the Rfam family "Bacterial small subunit ribosomal RNA", at positions 23 to 747 of the family's 1533-position model. The record is from RNAcentral. Lineage: Bacteria; Pseudomonadati; Pseudomonadota; Alphaproteobacteria; Sphingomonadales; Sphingomonadaceae.
CUCAGAACGAACGCUGGCGGCAUGCCUAACACAUGCAAGUCGAACGAGACCUUCGGGUCUAGUGGCGCACGGGUGCGUAACGCGUGGGAACCUGCCUUGAGGUUCGGAAUAACUCCCCGAAAGGGGUGCUAAUACCGGAUGAUGUCUUCGGACCAAAGAUUUAUCGCCUUUAGAUGGGCCCGCGUUGGAUUAGCUAGUUGGUGGGGUAAAGGCCUACCAAGGCGACGAUCCAUAGCUGGUCUGAGAGGAUGAUCAGCCACACUGGGACUGAGACACGGCCCAGACUCCUACGGGAGGCAGCAGUGGGGAAUAUUGGACAAUGGGCGAAAGCCUGAUCCAGCAAUGCCGCGUGAGUGAUGAAGGCCUUAGGGUUGUAAAGCUCUUUUACCAGGGAUGAUAAUGACAGUACCUGGAGAAUAAGCUCCGGCUAACUCCGUGCCAGCAGCCGCGGUAAUACGGAGGGAGCUAGCGUUGUUCGGAAUUACUGGGCGUAAAGCGCACGUAGGCGGCGACUCAAGUCAGAGGUGAAAGCCCGGGGCUCAACCCCGGAACUGCCUUUGAAACUAGGUUGCUAGAAUCCUGGAGAGGUUAGUGGAAUUCCGAGUGUAGAGGUGAAAUUCGUAGAUAUUCGGAAGAACACCAGUGGCGAAGGCGACUAACUGGACAGGUAUGACGCU